GAUGAACGCUGGCUGUGUGGAUAAGGCAUGCAAGUCGAACGCAUUUAGUUGCGUGGCGAACGAGGUAGUAACACGUAGGACUACAAACCCCAAAGUCAGGGAUAACCUGGAGAAAUUCAGAAUAAUACCUGAUAGUUCCCGCAAGGGUAAAGAUUUAUCGCUUUGGGAUUGGCCUGCGGAGUAUCAGCUUGUUGGUAGUGUAAUGGACUACCAAGGCUAUGACGCUUAGGGGAGGUGAGAGCCUGACCCCCACCGAUGGGACUGAGACACGGCCCAUACUCCUACGGGAGGCCGCAGUCGAGAAUCUUCCACAAUGGACGAAAGUCUGAUGGAGCGACACAGCGUGGUCGACGAAGCGCUUAGGCGUGUAAAGACCUUUUAUAAGUGAAGAAUUUUAUUGACAUUAGCUUAUGAAUAAGGGGCUGCUAAUCACG
RNAcentral lists this ribosomal RNA (434 nucleotides) under uncultured bacterium. RNAcentral's name for it is "bacterial SSU rRNA". It matches the Rfam family "Bacterial small subunit ribosomal RNA", at positions 28 to 505 of the family's 1533-position model. The record is from RNAcentral.